This 209-nucleotide unclassified non-coding RNA is filed under the name soil metagenome. Its description in RNAcentral is "partial contains 5.8S ribosomal RNA, internal transcribed spacer 2, and large subunit ribosomal RNA". The record is from RNAcentral.
AACCAUAGAAACCUGCGGAGUACCUGCGGAGGGAUCAUUAGCGUAGUUCAUGUGGCUCCGGCCGCAGUCUGCACACCCUUGAUUUUGUAUACCACCGUUCUCUCCACCGGCUUGGGUGAUUCCAGCCGGUGGCGACACCCUCAAACCCCUGUAGUGAACAGUACCGUCAGUCAAUCUUUAAACAAAUUACAACUUUUAACAAUGGAUCU